CAUCUCCACUGAUUAUACCAGCCCAGCCUUGACCCUGCAGCUGGGAAAGGAGCCCCAGCCCCAGGAUCUCCAGGUGAUCCCAUUCAGUGAUCAAGACAGAAGACAGACACCUAACCAUGGAGACUGUGCUCAGCUGGAUUUUCCUUGUUGCUAUUUUAAAAGGUGUCCAGGGUGAGGUGCAGCUGGUGGAGUCUGGGGGAGACCUGGUGAACCCUGGGGGGUCCUUGAGACUCUCCUGUGUGGCCUCUGGUUUCACCUUCAGUAGCAACGACAUGGACUGGGUCCGCCAGGCUCCAGGGAAGGGGCUGCAGUGGCUCACACGGAUUAGCAAUGAUGGAAGGAGCACAGGCUACGCAGAUGCUGUGAAGGGCCGAUUCACCAUCUCCAGAGACAACGCCAAGAACACGCUGUAUCUGCAGAUGAACAGCCUGAGAGCUGAGGACACAGCCGUGUAUUACUGUGCGAAGGACACAGCCUCUGAGGGUGAUCAGAAUGAUUUAAUAACUGUCAUGUUCCAGGAAGGAGACAAGCUCACAGACCCUGAUCCAGCAUCUUAA
Canis lupus familiaris (dog) is the source of this 557-nucleotide non-coding RNA. NCBI's taxonomy places the organism in Eukaryota, Metazoa, Chordata, Mammalia, Carnivora, Canidae. The record is from the annotation of a RefSeq genome assembly.